RNAcentral lists this ribosomal RNA (494 nucleotides) under uncultured bacterium. RNAcentral describes it as "bacterial SSU rRNA". It matches the Rfam family "Bacterial small subunit ribosomal RNA", at positions 899 to 1397 of the family's 1533-position model. The record is from RNAcentral.
ACUCAAAUGAAUAGACGGGGACCCGCACAAGCAGCGGAGCAUGUGGUUUAAUUCGAAGCAACGCGAAGAACCUUACCAGGGCUUGACAUCCCCCUGAAUGUUAUGUAACGGUAACAGCCUUCGGGCAGGGGAGACAGGUGGUGCAUGGUUGUCGUCAGCUCGUGUCGUGAGAUGUUGGGUUAAGUCCCGCAACGAGCGCAACCCUUGUCAUUAGUUGCCAUCAUUAAGUUGGGCACUCUAGUGAGACUGCCGGGGAUAACUCGGAGGAAGGUGGGGAUGACGUCAAAUCAUCAUGCCCCUUAUGUUCUGGGCUACACACGUGCUACAAUGGCCGGUACAACGAGACGCAAAGUUGUGAAGCGGAGCAAAUCUCAAAAGCCGGUCCCAGUUCGGAUUGCAGGCUGAAACCCGCCUGCAUGAAGUCGGAGUUGCUAGUAAUCGCAGAUCAGAAUGCUGCGGUGAAUGCGUUCCCGGGUCUUGUACACACCGCCCGU